This 759-nucleotide ribosomal RNA is filed under the name Pseudoalteromonas maricaloris. RNAcentral describes it as "bacterial SSU rRNA". It matches the Rfam family "Bacterial small subunit ribosomal RNA", at positions 448 to 1217 of the family's 1533-position model. Lineage: Bacteria; Pseudomonadati; Pseudomonadota; Gammaproteobacteria; Alteromonadales; Pseudoalteromonadaceae. The record is from RNAcentral.
UAGUAAUUAAUACCUGCUAGCUGUGACGUUACUGACAGAAGGAGCACCGGCUAACCUCGUGCCAGCAGCCGCGGUAAUAUAGGAGGUGCGAGCGUUAAUCGAAAUUACUGGGCGUAAAGCGUACGCGCGGCGGUUGUUAAUCGAGAUGUAAAGGCCCCGGGCUUAACCUGGAAACUGCAUUCGAACUGGCAACUAGAGCUGAUAGAGGGUGGUAGAAUUUCAGGGUAGCGUGAAUGCGUAGAGAUCUGAAGGAACCCGAUGGCGAAGCAGCCACCUGGGUCAUCAUGACGCUCAUGUACGAAAGCGGGGGAGCAAACAGGAUUAGAUACCCUGGUAGUCCACGCUGUAAACGAUGUCUACUAGGAGCUGGGGUCUUCGGACAACUUUUCCAAAGCUAACGCAUUAAGUAGACCGCCUGGGGAGUACGGCCGCAAGGUUAAAACUCAAAUGAAUUGACGGGGGCCCGCACAAGCGGUGGAGCAUGUGGUUUAAUUCGAUGCAACGCGAAGAACCUUACCUACACUUGACAUACAGAGAACUUACCAGAGAUGGUUUGGUGCCUUCGGGAACUCUGAUACAGGUGCUGCAUGGCUGUCGUCAGCUCGUGUUGUGAGAUGUUGGGUUAAGUCCCGCAACGAGCGCAACCCCUAUCCUUAGUUGCCAGCGAUUCGGUCGGGAACUCUAAGGAGACUGCCGGUGAUAAACCGGAGGAAGGUGGGGAGGACGUCAAGUCAUCAUGGCCCUUACGUGUAGGGCUAC